Molecule: ribosomal RNA, 405 nt
Filed under: Triticum aestivum (bread wheat)
Lineage: Eukaryota; Viridiplantae; Streptophyta; Magnoliopsida; Poales; Poaceae
Description: partial small subunit ribosomal RNA
Source: RNAcentral
AUGGUGUUGCUUGACAUUAGGGGUAUGUUGCAGUCCAUGGGCAAAGACAUAGCUGAUUUCGCUCUUCCAUGCAUUGACGAUGCGUUCGACCCAACCGAGGGAGAGGCCAGAGAAGUGAUCGAGGAAUCCAACGUCGAUUUUGACAUCAACGACACUAAAUUGGCUUCGUCGCUAAACUUGGAGCAGAGGGCUGCAUACGACGAGAUACUAGCUUCUGUUGAACGCGAUGAUGGUGUGUUCUUUGUUGAUGGACCGGGAGGUACAGGGAAGACCUUCCUGUACAGGGCGCUGCUCGCCAAGGUUCGAAGCGAGGGAAACAUCGCUAUCGCUACCGCGACGUCAGGCGUCACCGCUUCUAUCAUGCCUGGAGGCAGGACUGCCCACUCGAGGUUCAAGAUCCCAUUG